Molecule: ribosomal RNA, 253 nt
Filed under: uncultured bacterium
Lineage: Bacteria
Description: partial 16S ribosomal RNA
Rfam family: Bacterial small subunit ribosomal RNA
Source: RNAcentral
UACGGAGGGAGCUAGCGUUGUUCGGAAUUACUGGGCGUAAAGGGCGCGUAGGCGGCGUGACAAGUCACUUGUGAAAUCUCCGGGCUUAACCCGGAGCGGCCAAGUGAUACUGUCGUGCUAGAGUGCGGAAGGGGCUACUGGAAUUCUCGGUGUAGCGGUGAAAUGCGUAGAUAUCGAGAGGAACACCUGCGGCGAAGGCGGGUAGCUGGGCCGACACUGACGCUGAGGCGCGAAAGCUAGGGGAGCGAACAGG